NNNNNNNNNNNNNNNNNNNNNNNNNNNNNNNNNNNNNNNNNNNNNNNNNNNNNNNNNNNNNNNNNNNNNGUUUUUAUAUUUUUUUUUGCCUCAAUUAUGUAUGAGUACCCGCUGAACUUAAGCAUAUCGUUAAGCGGAGGAAAAGAAACUAAAUAGGAUUUCCGUAGUAACUGCGAGUGAACUGGAAUUAGCCCAUCACGAAAUCUAUAUUACAUUCGUAAUAUCGAAAUGUCGUGUAUAGGUUUUAUUAUUAUUGAUAUAAUAUUAUUAAAUAAUUGUAUUUAAAUAUACAGCCACAGAAGGUGCCAGCCCUGUUGUUUAAUAAUAUUUAUCAAAUUUAUAAAACUUUAGAGUCGUGUUGCUUGGAAGUGCAGCGCAAAGUUGGUGAUAAACAUCAUCUAAGGCUAAAUAUUCCUAUGAAUCCGAUAGCGAACAAGUACUGUGAAGGAAAAUUGCAAAGUACUCCGGAGAGAGAGUUAAAGAGGACGUGAAACCGAUACGAUGGAAGCAUACAGAGCCAGUUGCACUAUUAUUAAUAUUUAUUAAUAAUUUUAAGCAUGGGUAUAUUGAUAUGAUAAUUAGUUAUUUAUUAAAGAGUGAUAAAAAUAUUUUAUUUUUGUUAACUUUAAUAAAAUAAUUAUAUUAUUAAUUAAUAUUUAUAUUAUCAAUUUAUUAAUAAUAUAAUAUUUUAUUAAUAUUAUAUAAGACACAUGUGUUAAAUAUAAUUUAUUAAUAAUUAUUAUAUUAUUAUAUAUUGAUAUUCCUAUGUAAUCCUGGUAUGCUGUAUGUCCCGUCUUGAAACACGGACCAAGGAGUGUAUUGCUAUGGCAAGUCAUUGAUAUUGUUAAUAUCAAAGGCGUAAUGAAAAUAAUUUUAAUCUCUGAUCUUUUGAUUUUAUUAUCAUUAGCGCAUGAGAAACGUAAAUAUAUGAUAUAAUCAUUUUUUGCAGUUAUAGCCAUAGUAGUGCGACCCGAAAGAUGGUGAACUAUACUAGUGCAGGGUGAAGUCAGAAGAAAUUCUGAUGGAAGCUCGAAGCGGUCCUGACGUGCAAAUCGGUCGUCUGACAUUAGUAUAGGGGCGAAAGACUAAUCGAACCAUCUAGUAGCUGGUUCCGGCCGAAGUUUCCCCCAGGAUAGCUGAAACUGAUAUACAGAUACAUCCGGUAAAGCUAAUGUUUAGAGGAAUAGGGAAUAAUAUAUUCUUUAUCUAUUUACAAACUAUAAAUGGGUGUGAUAUUAUGAUUGCUUAAUUGAAUCAUAAUUUCGAUUGUAUAGUUUCAAGUGGGCCAUUUUUGGUAAGCAGAACUGGCGACGUGGGAUGAACCAAAAGUAUUGUUAAAGUGCCUAAAUUUUUGCUCAUCAGACCCCAUAAAAAGUGUUGUUUGAUCCUGACAGCAGGGCGGUGGCCAUGGAAGUCGGAAUCCGCUAAGGAUCGUGUAACAACUCACCUGCCGAAUCAAGCAGCCUUGAAAAUGGAUGGCGCUUGAGCAAAAUACUUAGACAAUACCAUAUAUUUAUUUUUUUUUAAAAAAAAUAUAUGUGUAGGCUGGCGUGAUAAUAGCAUUGAAGGUUAUAAGCGUAAGCUUGACUGGAGCUGUUAUUAGUGCAGAUCUUGGUGAUAGUAGCAAAUACACAAGUGAGAAUCUUGUGGACCGAAGUGGAAAAGGGUUUCACGUCAACAUCAUUUGACUGUGAGUUAGUCGGUCCUAAGCUAAAAUUGAAAAAUUUUUAUUCAUAUAUAGCGAAAGGGAAAUAGAUUAAUAUUUCUAUACUAUCUAUGGAGAUAAUAUAGGAUAAUAACUAUAUUAUGCAUGGUAACAUAAAUGAAAUUAACUACAAUAUAACAAGUUUUGGGUAGAGAUAUCUUCUCUAUUUAAGUUAUUAAAUCUAUGGAAAUUGCUCAGCAAGAGAUAUAGAUGAAAUUUUAACGUAGAGUACUAACAUUUUGUUGGUAUCCAAAGUGCUUGUUAUAUUACUUAAAAAGUUAAUGGAAGCAUAAUAAAUUUCAUAGAAUAACCGUACCCAUAUCCGCAACAGGUUUCCAAGAUGUUUAGUCUCUGGUCGAUGAAAUAAUGUAGGUAAGGGAAGUCGGCAAAAUAGAUUCGUAACUUUGGGAAAAGAAUUGGCUCUUGAGAUGUAGAUAUUCGGGUAUCAUGUAUUCAAUGGUUAUUUAAUUAAUAUAAAAUGAAUACUAGUAAUAGUUAUUUGAUUUAUAUUUAUUGAUAAUCAUUAACAUAAUACUUACAAAUAUUUGAAAUAUAAUAUUUUAACGAAUAUCAUUUUAUAUACAUUAAUCAAGAACUGGCACGGACAAGAGGAAUCCGACUGUCUAAUUAAAACAGAGGAGACAGAUGAUGCUAGAUGCAUGUAGACUGUGUCUGAUUUCUGCCCAGUGCAAUGAAUGUUAUCAUUGGGAAACCAAUUGAAGCUCUUGUAAACGGCGGGAGUAACUAUGACUCUCUUAAGGUAGCCAAAUGCCUCGUCGGGUAAUUUCCGACGCGCACGAAUGGAUUAACGAGAUUCCUACUGUCCCUAUCUACCAUUCAGCGAAAUCACAGCCAAGGGAACGGGCUUGGCAAAAACAGCGGGGAAAGAAGACCCUGUUGAGCUUGACUCUAGCUAGGCAUUGUGAAGUGUCAUAUGAGGUGUAGCAUAGGUGGGAGUUAUUUUAUAACGAUCUUGAAAUACCACUACUUAUAUUGAUAUUUUACUUAGUUGAUUAAAUGGAAAUUUUAUAUAUUAAUUUAUAUAAUAAUUUUUGUAUUAAAUUAAUAUCUUUGAGAUAUUUAAUAAUCCACGUCAAUGACCAUGUCUGGCGGGGAGUUUGACUGGGGCGGUACAUCUAUCAAACUGUAACGUAGGUGUCCUAAGGCAAACUCAAAGAGGACAGAAACCUCUUGUAGAGUAAAAGGGCAAAAGUUUGCUUGAUCAUGAUUUUCAGUACGAAUACAGACCCUGAAAGGGUGGCCUAUCGAUCCUUUUGUAUUAGUAUGUUUCUAAAAAGAGGUGCCAGAAAAGUUACCACAGGGAUAACUGGCUUGUGGCAGCCAAGAGUCCAUAUCGACGUUGCUUUUUGACGUGGAUUAUUAAAUAUCUCAAAGAUAUUAAUUUAAUACAAAAAUUAUUAUAUAAAUUAAUAUAUAAAAUUUCCAUUUAAUCAACUAAGUAAAAUAUCAAUAUAAGUAGUGGUAUUUCAAGAUCGUUAUAAAAUAACUCCCACCUAUGCUACACCUCAUAUGACACUUCACAAUGCCUAGCUAGAGUCAAGCUCAACAGGGUCUUCUUUCCCCGCUGUUUUUGCCAAGCCCGUUCCCUUGGCUGUGAUUUCGCUGAAUGGUAGAUAGGGACAGUAGGAAUCUCGUUAAUCCAUUCGUGCGCGUCGGAAAUUACCCGACGAGGCAUUUGGCUACCUUAAGAGAGUCACAGCGUUGCUAGAGCCAUCAGAUAUGCCUCAUGCGACUCAGCAAACACCGUGCUAUUUUUAUUUUAUUAUCUACAUUAAAUAAUAAUACAAUUAAGGAGAAUAAAAAUAACAUUGGUGUACUGCUGAAGUCGAGUAUAACUCGGCUCUAGGAUGCUUCUGCACAUCAGGAUUCAAGAUGCACGAAGUUACGCCCAACUCAUCAGCAGUACAACAAUGUCUAACAAUAAAAUCACUAUUUAAAUAUAUUUAUUUAAAAUUUUUCUUCUUUGAAGCUGAGUCAUGGCUCCAAAUCCCUUAGACAUUAUAUCUAUUUAUACAGACCUAUUAUACUCACCUUGUUGCUGACUUGCAUAUUGGGAGCAUCUUGGUUGUGUGUGUUUUAACACACUAUGGCGGGAUAAGCCAAAAUGCUUUAAGUUUUGUUUUCCACUCCAAGAUACCAAUCCUGUCGUUUGAACAUAACUCUAUCCAGUCUUAAGGUGGUAUCCCUGUUUCACCAAGUUGAUGACGUAGUCAACUACCUCAACAUACAUGCUGUAUGGUUAUUCUUCCAUACGUGUGACCAGAUUACUCAUCUUAUCUGCUAAUUCAUCUGACAUGUACUGAGGCUCUCGCUUCAGAACUUCUUCUCUCAUUUCAUCGAGUUUUGCCAGAAUGGAUUCUCUCCUAUUCUGCACGAUUACCUGAGAUAGGUCAUUCUUCACCGAGAUAAGGAGCUUUGUAAGCUCCUCGUUAGACCACUCUGCACCAUGUUUUAGAGCUAAUAUGCCCGUUUCCAGAGCAUCUGUUACAGUAUUAACACGUGCACAUAUGUUGGACGUCACUUUUCUCGCACCACUCAGCCAUUUAAUGGUGGCUGGAGAAAUUUUGCUAAAGCUUUGUUGCUUAUAGCGCUCUAAAACCGCGACGUUAUCCUUGAACGCAACUUCAAUGAAUAACUCCUUAUUUAUUUUCCAUACUUGUUUGCCGUCCGGAGUAGGCAUGCCUAGUUCCAUUCUGCAUUGGGUGGUUGAAGUUUCCAGCUUCUCCCCAAGUACUAUCGGUCCAUAAAUAAAGCGCUGGGGUAGUUUAUAGAGCACUUUGGCUCCUACAACCUUCAACCCCUCUUGGCUACUUCCAGAUCUGACCUUUUUAAUUGUCUUCACUGGUCCCCCUUUGGAUUUUGUGGUUUUGGUGCCACUUACUUGUUGUUGCUUCUUAGCUACAACCUUGUUUUGCUUUCCAGUGUUUCCUUGUCUAGCCAUUUUAGAAUUAAAAUAUCUGCCUAUGACAACUUAUUACUUAACGUAAUCUUGAGAAUAUGCUUCUGAAAUUAAAUCGAUUAUUAUAGUUCAAGAAAUACGAAAUAAUACAAAAGCUCGGACAACACGCGGGGUUAGGGUAGGGAUCAGUAAUGUUGUUUCUUUAAGUUUAAUACUUUUAUGUUAAAGGUAUUAGCUUAGAAACAUUGAUAAGGUUUGGCUGAAGUUAAAUGUAACUACUAUUCAAACGUUUUGUACGUACCAAUUUAUCCUUAUGCUUAUUACAGAUCCGUAGCACAGGUGUAUUAUUGGGAUAGUAAUAUCACCUGGAUUUUAUUUGCUACGUCUUUUUCUUUGGGAUUUUCCAUGCUGGCUUAUCUGCCUUCAUCUGCAUGUUACCUUCCUUUGCUAUUUCCUUCGGAGGGACUGCGGGAAAAUACCUCUUUCGGACUUGCACGGUUAGUUGUAUGUUAUAAGUCUAAGUAUCGUAAUUUAUUCGCUAUAAUAGAGUUCCUCACAACGAGGCCGCGGGAGUAACUAUGACAAUAUUUAUUCACGAACGCGACCCUAUUAUACCGUCUAAACUUCCUUUACUUAUCCUUGUAACAUACUUAACCAAUACCUUACUGUGUAAGCUGUAUUCACGACAGCAGUUCUGCUUGCAUUCUCUGUCAUGGCCUUGAUGUGUUGCUUCCUCAUCAACACUUCUAGUGGUUUCAUGAGGUCUUCCAUAAAACCUGGACUUAUUUCACCAUAUGCGCCCAUUAUAAAAGGUAUAAAACUAAUUUGAUAGUCUUUACCGUACUUCUUUUUGAAGUGAUCGUUCAUAUUAUAUGCCCUAUUUACUAUUUGAUAAUUAUCAGGGCCGAUCACUUCUUGCGAGUUCACCAUAUACCUUACUCGCUUUAUUUCAACUUGCUGUUGAAGAAGCCAUGGGUUGCCAACUACUGCUACUUCUAGCAGUAUUACCUUUUUCAACUUAUGGUUAACCAGGACUAAGUCAGGUCUAUUAUGAGCUAUCUUCUUAACUGAUCUUCUGCGAUCAUCUAAGGGUUCGAAGACUUGUUCAUAUUGUUCUCUAGCCUGUCCGACUUCCAUAAGUUGAGGUAAAUCGAAACCGAUUGACCAGUCUUUACCAAUCAUGUUGCACUCUUUCAAGUUUCUCAAUUCGCAUAACGGCAUAUAUUUUGUACCUAUUGCCUUUAAUAUGCUAUUUGUAACCGAUGCUAAUAUUGCAUCAUGCCUGGUUAUAUACUUGAUUCGUGCAUGAUUACUCUCACAGCCGCUUAGUAUAUGGCUGGUUGUGAGCUCUUUUUGGCAUAAAGGACAUUUUUUAAUAAUGUUAUUCCUUUUAUUUAUGUGCCAAUUCAAUCCUGGUAAAGACUGUUGUUGUGAUGCUGUAAUGAGAUUCGCUUGUAAGUCCGAUAUCGCGGCUUUUUUAAGCCAUGGCAUCUUUAGAUUAAGGCUAUCGUAUGCCUUAGCGAAUUCAAUCUUUUUGAUCCACUUAUCAUAGUAUCUCUGGUUAAGAAUGUCUUUUAUCUUACCACUUAUGAUUUUUGUGAACUCAUUUACAUCAUCAUGAUACACACCUUCUAUGGUAAUUCCUGACUUUCCUAAUGAAUGUUCAAUAUUGAACUUUUUCAUUAGUGUUGUGAACUGCCUUAUUGGAGUGGACUUUCCUCCUUUAAGUUCAUGCUGUAUGCUUAAUCCUUUAAUCACUUCGUUUAUAGGAUUAAUCCAGAGGUUCGCCAUGUGUCUUACUAUGGCUUCAUAAGCUACGCUUUCUAGUGAUCUUAAGCCUAGACCACCUUUCUCUGGUGUGCAAUACAGUCUUGCGAUAGAAGUUGUCUGUUGCCUUACUUCUAUUUGUUCACUGUCAGUUAUAUUACCUGCAAGGAUCUUUAUCACUAGCUUGUCUAGUCUUUUACACAAGCUAGGUAGUAUUCCUUGCUUGACCGCCGGUAGUGCAUGUGCUACUGCAUACCCGAUUGCAGGUGCUAUUGAAGAGUUAAACCAUUUUAUUUUUUGGCCUAUAUUUAAUUUGGUUUUAAACACUUGGCAUACGCUGCCUAGUAUUUUCUUUUCCAAACUCUUUUCUAGCGUUUCUACACAUAUGCUUCUACCUAACUCAGGUAUACCUAAGUAUUUGUAGCAGUCUGUCAAUUCACUAAUGUCUUCUAACAUUACGUUAUCUGACUUAUUGUUGUAUAGGACUCCACAUUUCUUUGCGUUUACGUGAAGACCUAGCUGAAGGGCAACCGAUUCAAAAAUGCCUUUGAGUCUUUUGAUUGU
This 6956-nucleotide ribosomal RNA is filed under the name Strongyloides ratti. RNAcentral describes it as "rRNA SRAE_0000600066". The stretch from base 85 to 3429 matches the Rfam family "Eukaryotic large subunit ribosomal RNA". Lineage: Eukaryota; Metazoa; Nematoda; Chromadorea; Rhabditida; Strongyloididae. The record is from RNAcentral.